This 440-nucleotide ribosomal RNA is filed under the name uncultured bacterium. Its description in RNAcentral is "partial 16S ribosomal RNA". It matches the Rfam family "Bacterial small subunit ribosomal RNA", at positions 338 to 795 of the family's 1533-position model. The record is from RNAcentral.
CCUACGGGAGGCAGCAGUGGGGAAUAUUGCACAAUGGGGGAAACCCUGAUGCAGCGACGCCGCGUGAGUGAAGAAGUAAUUCGGUAUGUAAAGCUCUAUCAGCAGGGAAGAAAAUGACGGUACCUGUGUAAGAAGCCACGGCUAACUACGUGCCAGCAGCCGCGGUAAUACGUAGGGGGCAAGCGUUAUCCGGAUUUACUGGGUGUAAAGGGAGCGUAGACGGCAGUGCAAGUCUGGAGUGAAAGGCGGGGGCUCAACCCCCGGACUGCUCUGGAUACUGUACGGCUGGAGUGCAGGAGAGGUAAGUAGAAUUCCUGGUGUAGCGGUGAAAUGCGUAGAUAUUAGGAGGAACACCGGUGGCGAAGGCGGCUUACUGGACUGUGACUGACGUCGAGGCUCGAAAGCGUGGGGAGCAAACAGGAUUAGAUACCCUGGUAGUC